This 957-nucleotide long non-coding RNA is filed under the name Phoenix dactylifera (date palm). Its description in RNAcentral is "long non-coding RNA (PDAC_LNC016786)". Lineage: Eukaryota; Viridiplantae; Streptophyta; Magnoliopsida; Arecales; Arecaceae. The record is from RNAcentral.
AAAUUUUGGAUUAAAGCUUAAAGACAAGAAAAUGGUGAAAACAGCAAUCCUUAAUUUGAGAAGAUAAUACAAGAACAAAAAGGGCAGUGUAGUCAGGCAUUGUUUUGUUAAUAUACUAUAUCAUUCUUCUUUGACAUGAGGGUGACAAUAUGCACAUUGAGCAACAUUUUGCAGCAACACCAGCUUGGAUCUCCUGAUGCCACUUUUGGUAACAAACUUGCUUGCUUAUUUUCGUUUUAUAGAAACAUUUAUUAUCUGUCUAGGCAGAAGGUGCUCCAUCAAACUUUUUAGAUGAUUUUCAUGUACAAUACAAGAUUAUUAGAUGUUCUUUAUGUAGGCUAGGGAAGGUGAUGAUAGACUUCAAAAAAUAUUCUCUUUUAUGCAACACUGUAUUUGUAAGAGCAUAGAACAUGUCUUUGAAACAUAGGUCUCUACCCUACUCACAUGCUUUCCUGAUAGAUUAGGUGUUACAAUCCUUCUCAUUUCCUUCAAAGUGAGGAGCUUUUCCUUAGUAGAGAUAGCCUGUCUUUCGUUGUUUGGAGCCACCAAGCUCCAACACCACAAACAUACAUUGAGAUCGAGUUGAACUUCAUUAAGGCUUAUAUUUUCCUUAUUUUCUAUAUAUAAUUGCUUUAUGAUAUUACUAGAUGAUACCAAUCAGCGCGUCUGUUACCAUAUUUGUCUUGUAUCUGGGAACUAUAUAUGGUAUUUUAUUUAUAUCAGUGAACUAAGCCAAUCAUGGCCUUUAGAACCUUUGUCUAGUCAUCCUUUGAUAGUGUUCAGUGGUUCAAUCAAACUUGGACAUGUUAUGUCCUUAUGCUAUAUUUGAGUCUUGGUUUUAUGAUCUUGUUUGUCUAGAGGAUUCGCAUUCUAUACUGAUGCUCAAAUGAUAAAUUUUUAGAACCAAGAGACCUGAUUCUUCAUUGUUGAUAACUUUUUCGACUUUUUUGACUGUUA